CAAGCAAGCUGGAAGACAGUGGAAUAUGAAGCUGGACAUGAAACUUAGAGAAAUGGGUUUGAGACCAACAGUGAGUGAACCUUGUAUGUAUCAUAAAUGUGACAAUAAUGGAGCAGACCUAUUUGUCGUUAUCUAUGUUGAUGAUAUAUUAAUUGCUUCACGCAAGAGAGAAACCAUAAAUAAAUUCAAGCAGGAACUGGCAAAGAGGUUUGAACUAAAGGACUUUGGCCAAGCAACCUUUUGUCUAGGGAUCGACAUAAAGAAAAAUGGUAAUGAAUAUCACAUGUCACAGGAGAGAUAUGUAAAGACCAUUUUGAAGAGAUUUAACAUGGAGGACUGUAAUCCUGUACAAACUCCAAUGGAGAUGGGAAAGAUAGCUAUGAGUGGCAAAGAGAAGGAUGAAGGAGGAAAGUCUUUUCCGUUCCGAGAACUCAUAGGGGCACUUAUGUUCUUGAGCGUAGCGACUAGACCAGAUAUCGCGAACGCGACGGCAAAACUCGCACAAUUUUCAGAGAAUCCUCAGGAAACUCAUUGGAGAGCUGCAAAGCGGAUCCUUAGGUACCUAAAAGGUACGAUUACUCAGGGUUUAACAUUUAAACCGAUGGGCGGAGCAGGUAUCUCAUGGGCAUCACAAAAGCAACGCAUCGUUGCGACGUCGACUUGUGAGGCUGAAUUUGUAAGUUUAGCGGAAGCUAUGAAAGAAGCAGUGUAUUUGAAUGGCUUACUGAAGGAACUUGGUCUUCACCAUUGGUCUAAGGUAAGCAUGCAUGCUGAUAACUUGGCUGCUAUCUGUCUAGCUGAAGAUCACGGUGUUUAUCACGCGAAAAGUAAGCACAUCGACAUUAGGCAUUUCUUUAUAAGGGAUGUGCUGCGUGACAAUAAGUCGAUAACUUUAGAACAUUUGGCAACUGAAAAUAUGCUGGCAGAUAUUUUCACCAAACCUUUGCCUCGUAUAAGGCAUCACUUGCUGAGUAAAGGGUUAGGGUUGCGCGUACUCUAGUGCCUUGUAUAAAGCAUGAGUUGAGGGGGUGUGUUGAUGAGCACCUUCAUGCUGUAUAACGUAGAGCUGGCUAGCUGGAACCGCUAUGAUAGAACUGUCAUUUAUAUUCAAAUGUGAUGUUGUUUUUUAGCUGUGUAAUGGCUGUGCCGAACUCUCUAUUGUAAAUAUUCUACGUGUGCUUUGAUACCAAUAUAUUUAUUAUGUUACUACCAA
Long non-coding RNA from Ostrinia nubilalis (European corn borer), 1213 nucleotides. RefSeq lists it as uncharacterized. The record is from RefSeq and is a predicted model, not a curated record. The transcript is spliced from 2 exons. Lineage: Eukaryota; Metazoa; Arthropoda; Insecta; Lepidoptera; Crambidae.